This 253-nucleotide ribosomal RNA is filed under the name uncultured bacterium. RNAcentral's name for it is "partial 16S ribosomal RNA". It matches the Rfam family "Bacterial small subunit ribosomal RNA", at positions 524 to 776 of the family's 1533-position model. The record is from RNAcentral.
UACGUAGGGUGCAAGCGUUGUCCGGAUUUAUUGGGCGUAAAGAGCGUGUAGGCGGCCAAGCAGGUCCGUUGUGAAAACUGGAGGCUUAACCUCCAGACGUCGACGGAAACCGCGUGGCUAGAGUCCGGAAGAGGAGAGUGGAAUUCCUGGUGUAGCGGUGAAAUGCGCAGAUAUCAGGAAGAACACCAAUGGCGAAGGCAGCUCUCUGGGACGGUACUGACGCUGAGACGCGAAAGCGUGGGGAGCGAACAGG